CGGUAAUUCCAGCUCCAAUAGCGUAUAUUAAAAUUGUUGCAGUUAAAAAGCUCGUAGUUGAAUUUCUGUUAAAAAUAACCGGUCUGCUUUUAUUAUUAGUAAAAGUGGUAUCUUGGCUUUUUUUUUAGCAAUAAUGUCCUUGGAGAUGUUUUUUACUUACUUUAUUGUAAUAAAUUAUGUUGAGGAUUUUUACUUUGAGAAAAUUAGAGUGUUUCUAGCAGGCUAACGCUUUGAAUACUGCAGCAUGGAAUAAUAAAAUAGGAUUUUGGUUCUACAUUAUUGGUUUUAAGAACUAAAUUAAUGAUUGAUAGGGACAGUUGGGGGCAUUUGUAUUUAACUGUCAAAGGUGAAAUUCUUA
This 358-nucleotide ribosomal RNA is filed under the name Hepatozoon silvestris. Its description in RNAcentral is "partial small subunit ribosomal RNA". It matches the Rfam family "Eukaryotic small subunit ribosomal RNA", at positions 577 to 922 of the family's 1831-position model. Lineage: Eukaryota; Apicomplexa; Hepatozoidae. The record is from RNAcentral.